Long non-coding RNA from Phyllostomus discolor (pale spear-nosed bat), 4981 nucleotides. RefSeq lists it as uncharacterized. Lineage: Eukaryota; Metazoa; Chordata; Mammalia; Chiroptera; Phyllostomidae. The record is from RefSeq and is a predicted model, not a curated record. The transcript is spliced from 2 exons.
AGUAGCAGCUCCAUUAACACACCCUGCACUAGCUGCCUCCCCUCCCUUUCUCAGCUGGUACUGUCUAGGAUCACCUCUCAAAUAAAAGGGUUAAUAAAACUUACAUAUAUCAGAAAUUCAGGUCAAAAGUACUACAUUAUAAAAUGGUAAAAGCAUGGGCAUAUCAGCAGGGAAGUUCACACUAAACUGGGUCUGGCUCCCAGUUCUUUUACUUACUAACCAAAAAGUUUGGGCAAGUUAUUUGACUUCUAUAUGCAUCAGUUUCUUUGUAUAUAAAGUGGAAACAGUAUCCGUGAAGAACAAAUGAGGUAGGGCAUAUGUAGAAAUAGCAAAGUGCCUAGCAUAUACCAAGUAUCUAAUAAUGCUAUUAUUAUAAAAUGUACUUUUAUUUUACUCAUUUUUAUCAGCUCAGUCUUUCUUCACUAACUUGUAAAGCUUUAGAAAAUAACUACAAACUUCUGUAACUAGUUUGAAUCUAGAAUAAGUUUUAUCUUGACCAAUUCAACCUGUCACUUUCACAGCACUAGGAAAUUUACCAAGUUUAAUAAACUCUAGUUAAUGCCAUACAACAUAUUUUUGCUUUCAAUUUCUAUGGAAGCCAUUUAAGGGAGGUAGGAACCAACCAGCUGCUGUAGGUUCUACAUAUUGGUUCACAUUACUAAAAUAAAUGUUACAUGGAUGCUAAAAGUCUAAUUUAAAGCAAGAAGUAUGAGUUCCUUAGCAUGGUAUACUUAGCAAAGAAAAAGAAAUCUCCACGUACUCCGUUUUUUACAUUCUUAAUGGAAAAUUUCGCUUUGUCUUUAUUAACAUGUGUCCUUAGAAUAACUGCAGAGGCAAAGGUUCUGACUACUUACUAUGCUAUGGCAUAAACUACUACUGUCAGACUAAUAGCAGCAGUAAUUUUGCCUGGUUCUGGUCCAUUAAUCAAAAAUAAUGUUUACAGUAAAGAAUCAAAAAAUUAUGUGCAUACCAUAAACACUGACUUAACCUGAACACAUAUAAAUAUGCAUUAAGUCCCCAAUUUUUCAAAGCAGUUUCAAGUAAUCCUUGAGGAGGACUACUUCCCCAAUAUUAUUCUUGUAUAAACCAUAAUCAGAAUUUAUUUUGUACAAAUUCCAGUUUUAAUUUGCUAAGUGGUUUAAAAACUAAAAAACAAAAACAACAAAACAAACUGGUAAAGCAAGCUUGGGAUAUUACCUUCCAAGUUUUCAUAGUUUUCUCUGCAAUCUUUUCACAGUUUUCCUGCCCACUUUUUUAGCCACUAACUUGUAUGGAAUCUUCCUAAAUAAUUCAACAUUCCUUUCACAGAAACAAUAACGCUCUUUCCAUUUGCACUUAUGUUUCAUAGAUUUUCGUACUUAUUUAAAUUAUUUAAUUACCAUAAUAAGUGCAACUGGUACCAACAGGUUUGCAAUAACUACAACAGACUAUUGUUGAGCCAGUAACCCAGGAGUUGGAACAGGGAACAGGCUACUAGCAGCCUGGGCAGCACUCAGUCUGCUUUAUGGGAAAUGAAGUGCAUAGGCUCGCUGGCCAAUGGGUUAGAUGUCAAGAGGGUUGUCUUUGUAUUAGGAUGAACCAUAUGCAGUUGCCAACAUCCAGCUGUCUUUUAUCUAGAGAAAUGCAAGUGCAUAUAUUCAAUGUAUUGGACAUCUUUAUUAUUUUUAUAUUAACUACUAUUAAAUAUUAUAUCUACUACCCAUUUUUCUCCCUUGAACAAUGAAUAGUGACUCUCACAACUUUAUUUUUUAAAUUCUAUUCCACAUUUACCUUGGAACUCACGUUAAGCUACUGAAUAAUCAGUACUUGCACUCUGGAUUCCUAAGAAUGUUAUUUCUACCUUCUUUCUUUCUUCAAGUUAAAGUCACACAUGUUAGAAUUUCAAAGAGGCUGAAGGCAAUAAGCCUGUGUCUUCUAACUAACUGAAUGACAAACAGCAGAGGGAUUAAAAUGUGAGGCUGGCAUGAGUUUGUUCGUUUAUUGGUUUGCUUGUAAGACACAUUUUUUUGGCCCAUGGAAUCCAACACAGGUACAAAGCGGAGUGAGCAGAGAAGCCCCUGGACAGACUUGGGAUGAGCCAUCCUUAAAGACAAGCGCCUUUUACUUUUGCUCUGUCCUUGUCAGUGUCAUUUAAUUAUAAUAAACAAACCAAACAUCACAAAUGUGCCAUUAAGACAAAACCUAGAAAUAUGGGACAUAAAGGCAGAAGGAGGGGCUGUAUUUAGAUGAGGAACUACUUUCAAACUCUUAGAAGUUCUCACAUUUCUAGUCCUGACCCUAAAAAGUCUAAGCAGGUUCGCAAAUGUGGUUGUCCUUAUGCCCACACAAAACUCUUGCAUGAUAUCAUAGUCCUAGUGUCUUUUAGAGCCUCUAAAACGUCAACCCCCAGAGUCUGUAUGCAGAGUGAGAAGAGCCUAAACAUUGUAAUUAUACCCAGGUUUCAAUCCCGGCUGCAUACUUCUACCCAUAGUCCUCAUAGCACGCAUGGGUGCAGAACAGGAAGAAGAGGCGCUCACCCUUUCUGCUUUUCUUCUUCUAAACACCCUUCUUUCCUUCUCUGCACCCACGUGUGCUGUGAGGAUUAUGGUGCACACCUUACUGGCUUUGGAGGAUUUAUGAGAAAAUGCAUGCAGAGUGCCUUCCUGCAACUAUUACUGAUAUCUAAAAGGCACCAAAACUUUUCACCUCGUGACUGUCAACUUAAAGGUUUAAAUCUUAAAUGCAGGCAUGAGCAAUCUAUAAAUAGGUGGCACAGAGGACACCCAUGCAGUUUGUUUUCUAUUUCCCAAAUUGUUAUACAAACUGAGCAUAACCAAUACAUCAAAUGUAAGCAAGGAAGGUAGCUGUCCUUUCCAGAUCACACGGAGAAGUGAGACAGAGCCUCCAAUGGGAGAAGAGAUUUCAAAGAGGUGAAGCUGCAAAUGCCAGAGGGAUAAUUUUAAAAUACAAAUCUUAACAGGUCCCUCUCCUUCGUAUAGGCUCCCAAUUAACUUUGGGGUACAAUCCAAAAUCUUCAGCAGGUCAAACCAGGCUCUCAGCACCCCAGCCCACGCAGACCUAGGCAAUCUCAUCUCACACCCUCUUCUGUGGUGAUUUUACAGUCCUUCAGAUUCUCUGAUCACACCUGCAUUCUCUGGGCCUGAAUUUGACUUUCUGUCCUCACCCCAUUUCUCUGCUGCCCUACCUCCCAGUCGUCCCCUCUUUCACCUCCGGAGAACAACUCUGUCUGCCUUCCCCCGCUGAGCUUCCCCAGCACUGUCCCGUGUUAACAGUACUGUCUGUACUGUUACUGUUAACCUCCUUCCAGCCCACAAAGAAUUGGACAGACUUUGGCACUGUGUCUGACAAAAAGCUGACACUCAGUGUUUUUUGAGUAUGUACUUCUGAAACUCCCUAAUUUGAGAUGUAACCAGUUAAGAUGAGGUCAUACCUUAAUGCAGUAUGACUGGUGUCCUUAUAAGAAAACAGCCAUAUGAAGACAGGCACACAGGGAGAGUGCUAUGGGAAGACUGAGUCAGAUACUGAAAUAACACAUCUAUGAGGCAAUGGCUGCCAGUGUCACCAAGAAGCUAGGAGAAAGGCACACAACAGACUCUCCUUCAAAGCCUUCAGAAGUAACCAACACAGUUAGCACCCUGAAUUCAGACCUCUAUCUUCCAGAGCUUUGAGACAAUACAUUUCUGUUCUUUUGAGCCACCCAGUCUGUGGUUCUUUGUUACAGCAGCCCCAGGAAACCGACACAGUACCAAAUAUGCAAAACUAGCUUCAUAAUACUGUUCACAUUGAAUUGAAUUGCUGCUGCUUCAGAAAGAAAAAAGUAGGCACAACACAUCCAUUCUGUUUUUAAAUUUUCUUUUAGAAAUCUGUGAAGGUGUAUUAAGAACUACAAAAAUGACCAUACUUGUUGACAAAGUAAUUACACUUCUGGAAAACUAUCACAAAAAACAAACAAACCACAAUUUGUUCAAUGAUAUAUCUUCAAAGAUAAGUAUUUCUGUAACUAAGGUUGUUUAUAAUUUGUUGCUAAUAUACCUGUCCAAAUAGACAGGUAUAAUAGACUAGUUAACUAAAUCAUAUUGUAAUUACUGGAAUAUAACAGAAACAACAGGGCUUCUGGAAAUUAUGUAAGAUGAAAAUGCUUACUAUUUGUUAUAUGGAAAGACACAAAAUACUAAAAUUCUAUACGGAGUGAUGUAGGAAAACACACAUUUUAAAAAAAGGAGAGGGACAACAGUACAAUUGAAAAAAAUAUUCAUUGUGGUAGAGGUAUGUUCGGUGGACUAGAACUCUCUUUUUGACUCCCUAAUCUCACCAUGUUGGUGCCUCCUUCCACUCUUUUUCUCUCCUCACACCUCCCCAAACAAAGCCAAUUCUUUUUUGGCAAUGCCUCCCAGGAUGGACCCAGACUCGUAUCACUGUGUACUGAGGUUUCUUAGGGAAAAGAUUCCGAUCUGGCUUGUCUGCAGUCUUAUCCCACUAUCAUAUCUACUGCCAGAAUAAAAGUUAUUCCACAGCCAAAAAUAUCUGAUGCGGUAAUCUCUUCAUUUAUGCUCUAUGCAUUUUUAUGUAUGUGUCAUAAUUUUCAAUAAAAGGGGGUUAUUUUUCAGUAAUUUACUGUGACUUCAUAUCCUGUUUUGCUGAGAUUAGGAUUCAUGCUUUUCUGCCAAUAUGGUCCUACUUCAUUACACUUCUGAGUGUAACGUUUAGCCAGAAGGAGCUGGGUUCCCGUCACAGCAGUGGAGUUGGCAGAGGCUGUUGUUCUUCUACAAUGCCUGCCAGCUCCCCUAUGUCUCCCAAUGCAAACUCCUUAGCAUCCUGUAAAUCCUAGCUUAACAAUUUCAAAGUUUUCCACCACCAGCAAAUUCACCUGAUAUCUGCAGUCUUAAUUCAUAGUGAUCAUAUUCCGCAAGCAUUUAUCAAGCAAUUACUAGUUGCAAGGCCUGAAUGAAGAUGUGUACAAUCUUUUUGUGGACACUGAACA